CGGGAUGUAGCUCAGCUUGGUCAGAGCGCGCCGUUUGGGGCGGUGAAGUCGCAGGUUCGAAUCCUGUCAUCCCGACAA
This 78-nucleotide transfer RNA is filed under the name Streptomyces sp. JV178. RNAcentral describes it as "tRNA-Pro". It matches the Rfam family "tRNA". From Rfam's summary of the family: Transfer RNA (tRNA) molecules are approximately 80 nucleotides in length. Their secondary structure includes four short double-helical elements and three loops (D, anti-codon, and T loops). Lineage: Bacteria; Bacillati; Actinomycetota; Actinomycetes; Kitasatosporales; Streptomycetaceae. The record is from RNAcentral.